AACAUUUCCAAACCUCUGCUUGCAUUGCACAGCAAGGUCAACGCUGAUGAGAGCUGAGGCACGCUCGUGUGCUAAUCUGUCUUUCUAUAGGAUUUGCUGCUCCGUAAGAAAUUCUUAUUCAUCUCUAAAGGUGCUCCUCAUUGGCUGAAUUCAGUAAGAAGCCAGAGGGGGGUAACCUGUAAAUGCAGCCCAUCCCUUGCUAGAAUCCAGCCAGUCUCCUGGGCCAUGGAGC
RNAcentral lists this long non-coding RNA (232 nucleotides) under Mustela putorius furo (domestic ferret). RNAcentral describes it as "lncRNA (ENSMPUG00000030486.1)". Lineage: Eukaryota; Metazoa; Chordata; Mammalia; Carnivora; Mustelidae. The record is from RNAcentral.